UAUUACAAUGAAGAGUUUGAUCCUGGCUCAGGAUGAACGCUAGCUACAGGCUUAACACAUGCAAGUCGAGGGGCAGCAUGGUCUUAGCUUGCUAAGGCCGAUGGCGACCGGCGCACGGGUGAGUAACACGUAUCCAACCUGCCGUCUACUCUUGGACAGCCUUCUGAAAGGAAGAUUAAUACAAGAUGGCAUCAUGAGUCCGCAUGUUCACAUGAUUAAAGGUAUUCCGGUAGACGAUGGGGAUGCGUUCCAUUAGAUAGUAGGCGGGGUAACGGCCCACCUAGUCUUCGAUGGAUAGGGGUUCUGAGAGGAAGGUCCCCCACAUUGGAACUGAGACACGGUCCAAACUCCUACGGGAGGCAGCAGUGAGGAAUAUUGGUCAAUGGGCGAGAGCCUGAACCAGCCAAGUAGCGUGAAGGAUGACUGCCCUAUGGGUUGUAAACUUCUUUUAUAAAGGAAUAAAGUCGUAUGCAUACCCGUUUGCAUGUACUUUAUGAAUAAGGAUCGGCUAACUCCGUGCCAGCAGCCGCGGUAAUACGGAGGAUCCGAGCGUUAUCCGGAUUUAUUGGGUUUAAAGGGAGCGUAGAUGGAUGUUUAAGUCAGUUGUGAAAGUUUGCGGCUCAACCGUAAAAUUGCAGUUGAUACUGGAUAUCUUGAGUGCAGUUGAGGCAGGCGGAAUUCGUGGUGUAGCGGUGAAAUGCUUAGAUAUCACGAAGAACUCCGAUUGCGAAGGCAGCCUGCUAAGCUGCAACUGACAUUGAGGCUCGAAAGUGUGGGUAUCAAACAGGAUUAGAUACCCUGGUAGUCCACACGGUAAACGAUGAAUACUCGCUGUUUGCGAUAUACAGCAAGCGGCCAAGCGAAAGCGUUAAGUAUUCCACCUGGGGAGUACGCCGGCAACGGUGA
RNAcentral lists this ribosomal RNA (906 nucleotides) under Phocaeicola vulgatus. RNAcentral describes it as "bacterial SSU rRNA". It matches the Rfam family "Bacterial small subunit ribosomal RNA", at positions 1 to 897 of the family's 1533-position model. The record is from RNAcentral. Lineage: Bacteria; Pseudomonadati; Bacteroidota; Bacteroidia; Bacteroidales; Bacteroidaceae.